AUAAAUAAAAAAUAGACAUCGCAGCUUCACAUACACUCAGGCACGCAGACGUCAGGUGAUCAUUUAUUUUCUGUUUCACUCAGGUCUGUGACACCUCUCAGUGAGGGCCAGGUCAGGAGGCCUGCUAUCCCGGCCCACCACGACCUCAUCCUGUCUCUGCUGGCUAAGAUUGACCAGGGGGUCAUCAUUCAGACAUGCCCUGACCCAGAGGGUUCCUGUUUGGAGAAGGGGGAGGAGGAGGGAGAGGUCCGCGAGGGCCAGAGACCCAUACUGCAUCCUGCAGGGACUGCUGACUGGACACUCCCCCACCAGCCGGCCAAGGGCCAGGACAGGGCCCAGGACGGGGAGGGGGACAGAGCUUCACCCCAACCCUAGACAGGGACACGUCUCCUCCCCAGGACAGCUCACCCUGCAGUCAGUAGAAGUGGCCGGUUGACAUCAGGAACGUGGAUGUGGAACCAGAGACGCCACAUCAGCCUCCUCAGCUUGACACCUCAAUGUCACCUCCACCGCUGGAGGACUCCCUCUCCCUCAGUGCA
Salmo salar (Atlantic salmon) is the source of this 539-nucleotide non-coding RNA. The record is from RefSeq and is a predicted model, not a curated record. Lineage: Eukaryota; Metazoa; Chordata; Actinopteri; Salmoniformes; Salmonidae.